GGUCGAGAAGGGCUACUCCAUUAAGGCCACUCAUUCUCACCGUGAAAGAUGGUUGAAAAAUUAUCUAGAUAUUAUUUUCAAGUCUCCUAUGAAAAAAGGAAUGUAGGAGAUAUUUGUCAAUGUCAAGUGUGAACUGGAGAAAACAAAAUAAGAAGAAAGUGGUUGACUGGUCAGCAAUGGCUACUUCAAGUCUGUAGUAAAAGGCUACUCAUUCUCUGUUUUGCUGAGAAGAAAGAAAAUGCUACUUAUUCUCAACUCUCAAGUGAAAUACAGAGUGGAGAAAAACCAUCUUUAUAUUAUUUAAUUUAUUUCUCUCGUUUGCGAUCAUCCCUAUUUAGUAUUUCUUUAUCGCCUUCAAUAUUAAACUCCUCUUGUAAAGCUCUCGAAGUGUACAAUUCUUCUCAAGAAAAUAUUCAAGUUCCUACAUCUAUCUUCAAGUUGAAUAUCAGAUGGUGUAAAUCUUCGGUACCAAUUUCGAUUAGUGGGCUCAGGACUGGAGGUCUUCUAGGACCGGCAAGCAACAAGUCAAAGCAUGGCAUUCUCUUUCUCUUUGGAUGUGAUAAUUGGAAGAAAGGGAGCAUAAAAACUUGGUGACUAAAGCUAGAAGGGAGUUUGAACUUUGAAGUUAAAAAUGGAUCAGGCUAUAGUGGAACUCUUGCUUGGAAAUAUCAAUUCAAUCCUUUCAAAUGAAGCAUCUUUGUUAUGGGGGGCUCGUGAUGCAAUUGAAGAUAUCAAAGAUGAGUUAAUAAGCAUGCGAUCAUUCUUAGAAGAUGCUGAUAGAAAGGGAGUAGGGAGGGAAGGAGAGAAAACUUGGGUGGCAAAUGUGAGGGACUGGGUGUAUGAUGUGGAAGACAUUAUUGAUGAGUACAUGUAUCACAUGAAUCACCAACAAAUUGGCGGUCAAUCUUCCUGGAACCUUCAGCACACCAUUAACUUUCCAAAAAAUCUCUGGGUGAGACGUCAAACCGCCACCAAGAUACAAAAAAUUAACGCAAAAAUAAAGGGCGCCAUGCCGCAAAGAUAUGGUAUUGAUCAUAUAGAGGGAACUAGUUCUGAAGAUAAUCAGAAAUGGGUGGUGCGUCAUGCUGAAUCAUCUCUUUUUUCUAAAGAAGACGAACUUGUUGGGAUUGAAAAGAAAAGGCAAUUGGUAAUGGAUUGGUUGAUGGAUGGAGAACCACAUCUGACUGUCAUUUCGAUAGUUGGGAUGGGAGGUUCCGGCAAGACCACACUAGCUGCCAACACCUACAACAAUGAUGAUGUAAAGAAACAUUUUGACUGUUGUGCAUGGAUCACAAUUUCCCAAGCAUAUGAAUUAGAAGACGUAUUGAGGUGCUUGAUUAUGGAAUUCCACGAGUCAAGGAAGGAAAUAAGUCCAGCAGACUUGAAUUCCAUGAAAUACAGACAGUUAGUAAAUACAUUGGUGAAUUAUUUAGAGAAGAAAAGGUAUCUACUUGUCCUAGAUGAUGUUUGGGACACAAACCUCUUGGAUCAAAUCAAGGUAUCAUUUCAAGAUAGUUGUAUUGGUAGUAGAAUCAUCCUUACAACUCGGAAAGAAGAUGUAGCUUGCUAUCAUUUGGGAGGUAAACAUCAUAUUCAUCAUAUUCAGUUGCUGCAAAACGAAGAGGCAUGGGAGCUCUUUUGCAAGAAAGCAUUCAUAAAUUGUACCAAUGGAAGUUGUCCACUGGAGCUUAAAUCUUUUGCUAAAGAACUUGUGCGAAAAUGCGAAGGCCUACCUCUUGCAAUUGCGGCUUUGGGUGGUCUUAUGUACUCCAAGAAUAUGUCUGAGUGGAACGAAAUUUACAACAGCUUGAAUUGGAGUCUAAGUAAAAAUCCUAAGCUAGAAGCAGUGAAUAGCAUUUUGUUGCUUAGUUUCAACGAUUUACCAUAUCAAUUGAAGCAUUGUUUCCUAUAUUGCUCUCUUUUCCCAGAAGAUCAUGAGAUUCGAAGAAAGAGGCUCAUAAAGCUAUGGAUGGCAGAAGGAUUUGUAGAACAAGAUAAAAGGUCCAUGCCAGAGGAAGUAGCAGAGAGCUACCUAUUAGAACUCAUUUUUCGAAGCAUGCUUCAAGUUGUAAAAAGGAAUGACUCUGGAAGGCCAAAGAGAUGUAAAAUGCAUGAUAUUCUGCGGGAGCUUGCUCUAUCAAUAUCAGAGAGAGAGAAGAUUGGUGUUGUACAUGUUAGAAGAGAAGAAAUGACAGAAUGCGAAGCACGCCGCAUUUCAAUUCACAAAACUGAUGGAGAAGUCAAAUCAUUUACGAGGAUGCCAAAGCUCCGUUCUUUUCUUGUUUUUAACAAGAUGUUGAAAACAUUGCCUUUUGGAAGUAAAAUGUUAAGGGUCCUAGAUUUGGAAGAUGCCCCUAUUGAUGACUUGCCUGAUGAACUAUUCAAAUUAUUUAACUUAAGAUAUUUGAAUUUAAGGGGAACCUUAGUUAAGGAGCUUCCAAAAUCUGUAGGGCGGCUCCGAAACCUUCAAACCUUGGACAUCCGAGACACAAAACUAGAGGUCCUUCCUUGUGAAAUAGGAGAGUUGCAAAACUUGCGGCAUCUAAUUCUACACCAAUUCACUGGAAAUUGGAAUGAUUUCAAAAUUUGUACUGGGCCGCGAAUACCAUCAAAUAUCUGUAGAUUAAAAAAUUUGCAAGUUGUGACAUAUUUAGAAAUAACAGGUGACUUGUUGAAACAGAUUCGGAGCAUGACUCAGCUUACCACGAUCGCUCUUUCAAAUGUGAAAGCAGCAGAUGAGAUGGACUUAUGUGAUUCAAUUCAUAACAUGAAGCUUAUGCGCUACUUGUGUAUCGUGGUUACAAAUGCGGAGGAAACCCUCCGUAUGGAUGCACUUUCAUCUCCUCCUACCAACCUUCAAAAGCUUGUUUUGGUUGGAAAACUAGAAAAGGUGCCACAGUGGUUUCAUUCACUUCAAAGCCUCACAUAUUUGUAUCUGCAUUGGUCGAGACUGGAAGAAGAUUUACUCCCUCACAUUGCUGCUUUGCCCCAUUUGGGACAUCUUUCACUUUUUUAUGUCUAUGUUGGAAAACAGCUAUGUUUCAGUACAGGCUUUCUUAAGCUUACAAAAUUGAGAAUUUGUAAUUUCCCUCAAUUGAAUGAGAUAAUAAUAGAAAAGGGGGUGAUGCCAAAUCUGAAAUCCCUAGAGAUUUACAGCUGCAUGGAGUUAAAGGCAGCGCCAAAGGGCAUUGAAAACCUACAAAAUCUCCAACUACUGCAUUUGCAAUCUGUCUCAAUGGAACUUCAAAAUCGCAUUCACAGCGUGGAUUUUCCAAAGGUUCAGCACAUCCCAAAGAUCUACAUCUUGUAGUAAUUCAAAAUGUUUCACGAAGUGUUGCAAUGCAUCCCAAAGAUCUACAUUUGGUAGUAAUUCGAGAAUGUUUCAUGAAGAAUGAUGCUGAAGAUUAUGAGUUUGCCUUGUUUGCUUCAAAAGGAUUCUGUUUUGUUUGGAGCUCUAAUUCUAAGUAUUGUUUGGGUAUUCUAGUUAUUGUUCAAUAAAUUAAUACUCAAGACUUUGUUUCUUAUUUGCCUGUAAUAAAUGUAAAAGUUUGAACUCCAAGAUGCCUUUGUGGUAGUUUGUUGGAAGAUUGUCACUGGUUCAACCAUGGAUUGUAAUUUGUAUGUAAUUUAGCUUGUGUAAACCAUUAACAUCUGUGUGAAUUGUUUUCUAUUGUUUCUGAGUUUUA
Quercus lobata is the source of this 3686-nucleotide RNA transcript. It is a transcript of the gene named disease resistance protein RPM1-like, with no coding region annotated. NCBI's taxonomy places the organism in Eukaryota, Viridiplantae, Streptophyta, Magnoliopsida, Fagales, Fagaceae. The transcript has 5 exons. The record is from RefSeq and is a predicted model, not a curated record.